GAAACUUGAAGAAUGAAGCCUGACAUUGCCAAUAAACACUGAUCGCGAAUCCACUUCCUCUCUACUAGCUUGAGAUGUAGCAGCCGCAGGAUCUUGUGCAGAACUCAUCUCCUUCUCGACUUUGGCCUGCAUCUCCCGCAGAGCAGCAGCUUCAUCCUCCAUCUCCUUCAACCGCUUCUUCAUGUCAUCCAGCUCCUGAAAUCGAUUAAGGAGACAAAAUUGAAAGUACCCAGAUUAGGGAUUUCAAUAUAAAUCGAAACCCAGAAAGGAUUUAUGUAAAUUCAUUAAAGGGAAAAAUUUGCCAUUGAAUAUUAAACCAAGAAGGAUCCAACAAAGAAUGGAGGAAACAGGAGAGAGAGGCGUAUAGAAAUCACCGGUGCUGCUUCUUCGUUAUCUGUAGCAGCCAUUACCACAUCCUCUCUGUCCAUUCUCUUGCUCCCGCUGAUGAUACCAAGCAACAAUCGAAGAUCCUGUUGUUAUUAUUACGCGUAGAAUUGAUAUUUUUGGAUAUAAAUUACACAAUUUAUUCUCACAAUUUUUUUUAAUACAGCUUAGGUUAGAACAGAGCUUUAAAAUUUUCUAGGCAUUAAUUCUAGAAAAUGAUAAACUUUUUUUUUAAAUAAUUUUAUAUAUUUUUUGAAGGAAAUUUUUUUAUUUAAU
RNAcentral lists this unclassified non-coding RNA (660 nucleotides) under Hevea brasiliensis (rubber tree). Lineage: Eukaryota; Viridiplantae; Streptophyta; Magnoliopsida; Malpighiales; Euphorbiaceae. The record is from RNAcentral.